This is a long non-coding RNA of Homo sapiens (human), 2110 nucleotides long. The record is from Ensembl. NCBI's taxonomy places the organism in Eukaryota, Metazoa, Chordata, Mammalia, Primates, Hominidae.
CUAGCCUCCAAGACAGCCCCGCCGCCAGAACAGCCUCUCCUCCAGGACCGGCCAGCCUACGAGAGAGCCCCGCCUACGGUACAACCCGCCUCCGGGACCGCAGGACUCCACCUCCGAGACAGCUCAGUCCCCAGGACAGUCCCGCCUCCGAGACGGCCCCGCCUCCAGGACGGCCCCUACCUCCGAGACCGCCCCGCCUCCGGGACCGCCCCGCCCCGCCUCGCCUCCGACACGUCCCCCGGGCGCCACUGCAGAGCCUGUCCGUCAGUCCCUAGGUAUCCGCACUGCUCAGGGGAGGAUUCCCUGGGAGCACCCACCAGCUGAGAUCUGCACAUCAGCCACAAUCCUCUCAGGACGGCGGAAAGGGAAGGGCUCAGCCGCCAGCCUGGCCACAGCCUGCAUCAUCUCAUCCCAGAGGCGGAGCACAGGCUCGGGGUCCUUCAGGGCCUGAAGGUUUGUGGUUGGCACUGUCAGGAUGAUGUUGUCCGUGGCCAGCUCUCCCCAGGGAGCCAGGUUCUCCUGCAUCUGCCUCUUCCACUCCUCCAGCGAUGUCUUACCUGGGAAUAAAUAUCAUGGAACCUACCACACCCACUUCUCCAACUUCCCUUGAGCUGAAAAAUACCAUUUGAACUCUGGAAGAACAUUGCAAUAAUGAACUACUAUCACAGGCGUCUAUAGGCUGUAAAGUGAAGAAAAGGCUUCCUGACUCUUCUCUUUGUCUGCCCUGAAGUCUCCAUGGACACAGGGUAUUCCGUAUCUUCUGCCUCCAUGUUCCCUCCCAACAGUUCUUCCUCUUUCUCUCCACCAAAGCUCAUCCCUCUCCCAUUUAGCAACCACCCCACAGUUCCCACGGCAUCUGCCACUCUUCCUCCUCCCUAAAUGUUCACUCCACUUACCCAGCUUGUAGUAUGGGGCAGGCACAGCUCCCCUGAUAGUGACAGGCACAGGGCCUAGUUGGCUGCCCUUGGGCACGAUGACGUAGAGGAGGCCGCCCCAGAGGCAGGAGACUGACCGCUCAGUCCUGUCCAUCCAGCAUUGGUGAGUCACCACGGGGGCUCGAGAUAGCUUCCUGGCCUUGGUAAGGUCAUCGGUGUGGCAGCCAAUCUGUACCUGGACAGGUGAUUCCACCAAGCGUUGGAGAAAUUAGAGUCUUUGUGAUGCUUUGUGAUGUGCGUGUGAGGUUGUGUAGAUGGAAGGUAUUAGACAAACAUGCCCAUGAAACCCCAGCUUCCCUUUUCUAUGUGCUAGGCAUGGAAACUUAUGAAAUUUUAGCACUCCAAAGUCAUUUGGACUUCAAGGCAUUUAAAAUCAUUUUUCUAAGGAUUUAAACAGCUCCACUAUAAGUCUUCACCUGACAUGAAUUGGUGAGAGACCAGGCUGAUCCUGGCAAAGGUCUUGUGUCUUUCUGCCAGGCAAAAUCCUGGGUUCUUCUAGCAGGACCUAAGCCAGUCUGGGGACGCUGAUAUUGAGGAUGAGCUGGGGGACUCUGCUCUGUCCUCUGUGAACACACAGGAGGCCCAUCCAGAGUGAGUGAGGUUGAUUCUCUCUCCCUCUUUGCCCAGAGCUUCCCUUUCUGGCCGCCAGAUGGGUGGAGAUCUGUUUUGUCUGGAGUCCUGGAGUUGCUUUUCUUAGGUUUGAUAUAAGCAAGCUCCAGAAAGAAUGCUGACAGAAAAGGGACCCUAGCUGUGGUAGGAAGUGGCCCUCAGAGUCAAGGAGGCAGGAUGAAUUUAAAUUCUGCAUGUAGGGCAUAUUUUGGGGAGUGAUGGGAUUAUGCACACCCUUCAGGUGUCAAGAUAAAGAGAUAAAACCAGAGUUUGUGCAGAAUGAGCUUGCUGACACACAGCCUAAAUUUGUACCGCAUGUUUCAUACUAACUCCCUCUGAGUUUGCACAUGGGACCCAUGAGGAGGCAUGAAGAGGUAACUGCCCAUGCCCGAGGAUUUUCCAGCCCUUCCUUUUCUUUCUAUCAAUCACCUACUAAUCACAGAAUCCACUCCCUACACCUUUUCUACUAAAAUAACUCUUUAAAAUAAGUACAAUGGGACAGAUUUGAGCUGGGCUCCUGUCUCCUUGUUAAUCAAAUUGCAAUAAAAUGUUUUCUUUUGUUUUUG